RNAcentral lists this transfer RNA (89 nucleotides) under Streptomyces noursei. Its description in RNAcentral is "tRNA-Leu". The record is from RNAcentral. Lineage: Bacteria; Bacillati; Actinomycetota; Actinomycetes; Kitasatosporales; Streptomycetaceae.
CGCGCCCUGCUGGGCGGGGUGGGUCUCCUCCAGGUGGAGGCAGACGUGGCCGGGGGUGUGGCCCGGCGUCCAGAUCGCCCGGACGCGGC